RNAcentral lists this ribosomal RNA (484 nucleotides) under uncultured bacterium. RNAcentral describes it as "partial 16S ribosomal RNA". It matches the Rfam family "Bacterial small subunit ribosomal RNA", at positions 30 to 507 of the family's 1533-position model. The record is from RNAcentral.
AUUGAACGCUGGCGGCAGGCCUAACACAUGCAAGUCGAGCGGAUGAAGGGAGCUUGCUCCUGGAUUCAGCGGCGGACGGGUGAGUAAUGCCUAUGAAUCUGCCUGGUAGUGGGGGAUAACGUCCUGAAACGGGCGCUAAUACCGCAUACGUCCUGAGGGAGAAAGUGGGGGAUCUUCGGACCUCACGCUAUCAGAUGAGCCUAGGACGGAUUAGCUAGUUGGUGGGGUAAAGGCCUACCAAGGCGACGAUCCGUAACUGGUCUGAGAGGAUGAUCAGUCACACUGGAACUGAGACACGGUCCAGACUCCUACGGGAGGCAGCAGUGGGGAAUAUUGGACAAUGGGCGAAAGCCUGAUCCAGCCAUGCCGCGUGUGUGAAGAAGGUCUUCGGAUUGUAAAGCACUUUAAGUUGGGAGGAAGGGCAGUAAGUUAAUACCUUGCUGUUUUGACGUUACCAACAGAAUAAGCACCGGCUAACUUCGUG